Molecule: small nucleolar RNA, 129 nt
Filed under: Chelonia mydas (Green sea turtle)
Lineage: Eukaryota; Metazoa; Chordata; Testudines; Cheloniidae
Description: Small nucleolar RNA SNORA40
Rfam family: Small nucleolar RNA SNORA40
About the family: The snoRNA ACA 40 belongs to the H/ACA family of snoRNAs and guides the pseudouridylation of 28S rRNA subunit at position U4565. NB This family has a high threshold value to exclude a large number of closely related sequences that do not appear to have conserved H and ACA boxes, and may be pseudogenes.
Source: Rfam by way of RNAcentral
AGCACUUCAUUCUUUUGUUUUUGUCUAACAUGGACAGAAGCUUCGAAUUCAGUGCUAAUAAUAAAAUGACUUUUUUGCAACCCACAACUGAUAACAAUAUGAGUUGUGCUACUUGUAAGUGUGGACAGU